GCUAUCAUAUGAUGGUCCGUCAAAAAUUGAUGACUUGUUAAUUUUGACUGCGUUGCACAAAACAAUUUGCACAUGCUUUAAUCGUUCAUCAUACGAUGCUCCGUUAAUCGUCCAUUAGCAAAUAACUAAUUUGGCAACAAGGUCACGAUGUGUCACAGUUUUUCAAUUUGACAUUUGUCACUGGCGAAUUGUUCUACUUUGGUUGUUUUCCUCUUUAUUCUGCUGUGCUGUGUUGUUGUGGUUGUGUGUAAAGGAUGGCGUCCUCGUGUUCUACAUCCUCGAAAACAGUGAACUAUACUCAUAAUAAAAAAAAUAUUUUUCUUUCGAUGGUAGCAAAGUAAGUUUUUAUUAAAUUUGUUUUAAGAAAACCAUUUAUAAGAAUACGAUAAAAGAUUUCAAUACUUUAGUAUUACAAGUAAUUUUAUUCACUUCGUAACUUCCUUUUUCUCUAUUUCCCACUUUCAACUCCUUUAAUGUUCAAUGUUUUCCAAAUUUCAGUUCUUUAAUCCUUGUUAAUGCUUUAUCCUCUAAAUUCUAGAUAUAAUCAUGUUAUCGAAGACAAAAGCACCAAGGCAUGGGCGGUGCAAAAGAAAGCUGAAGCUUGGGAGGAAAUCGCUGAAAAAUUUAAUUGUUUGGCUGAAUCUGGAGCUAGAACGGCCGAGCAAUUAAAUUUUUUUAUGAGAAUCUUAAGCGAGACACGCGCAAAAGAGUGGCACAGGAGCAUCAAGAAGAAUAUGAAGCCCGAAUGAGGAAAGACCAGGCGAAGAUGGCCGCUGCUCACGACAAGGUAAUUACAAAUUUACAUAAUACUAGAGUCAUUUUGUUAGAAAUUAUAUUUACAAAGACUAUAAUAAAAGUAAAAAAUAGUUAUUAAUAUAGAGAAAUAAUGAAAACGGGAGGAGGCAUUUCCAACUUGGAAAUGACCUCUGAACAAGAGGUACUACUGGCCACUCUACGAGAGCAAGUGGAGCCGCUGGUGAAUCCGUACGACAGUGCGGCGGAUUAUUUUAGUAAUACACACGUUAAAUUUGAAAGAGAACCAAAUUUCAUUUUUUAUGUCUUAAUAGAUGAUUAUCGAGAUGA
This is an RNA transcript of Tribolium castaneum (red flour beetle), 1083 nucleotides long. RefSeq lists it as uncharacterized. NCBI's taxonomy places the organism in Eukaryota, Metazoa, Arthropoda, Insecta, Coleoptera, Tenebrionidae. The transcript has 2 exons. The record is from RefSeq and is a predicted model, not a curated record.